Long non-coding RNA from Brassica napus (rape), 8625 nucleotides. RefSeq lists it as uncharacterized. The transcript has 21 exons. Lineage: Eukaryota; Viridiplantae; Streptophyta; Magnoliopsida; Brassicales; Brassicaceae. The record is from RefSeq and is a predicted model, not a curated record.
AUAAUUCAACAUAACGGAUUAAAAUGAAUCAUUGUAAAGAGAUGCCCAAGAGGAAGAAGAUAUAGCCGUUUAGAGAGAGAGAGAGAGAGAGAGAUUGAUCUUGGCUUGAACGAAAAAAAUAAGAUCUGUCAUGGAUGAAGAAUCCGAUUUGCUGAUGUUUAAUGGUUUCUUUGAGAAAAGCAGUGCAGAGACUUAGUUUAGUGUUCUUCGCGAAUGGGUUCUUCUCAGAGGAAUGCAUAUGUUGACAUAUACAUACAUUCAUAUGCAUACAUACAUACAUUCAUAUGCACACAUACAUACAUACAUACAUACAUUCAUACAUUUAUAUGCACACAUACAUACAUACAUUCAUAUGCACACAUACAUGCAUACAUACAUUGUAAGAGCUCACAACAAGAUCAGUGGUUAUUGCGACUUCUAAUUGCGGUAGUCAUGGCAGAUCAAGGUCAGAUGUUUGUGAAAGAGACAUCUUUUGACAACUGUACUACUGGGUGUGAUGACUCCACUAUCAAGUCUUCUCAUGAGAAAGCAGCAUAUGGGGCUUCAUCUAGGCUGCAAAUUGUGAUGAUCCCCCUAUCUGAGGAUAUAUCCUGGUCUGUGUUCCAUAACAGCCUCUCAACAGGCAUUUCACCUUUUCAGGCAACACUACCCUCUAAACUUGUUCCCUUACGAUCUCUAUUAUUUACCCUUUAUAUGUACUUUCAAUAGUUCUUGAGCCCAGACGGGUUCCAAUAACAAUCUUACUUACCGCUUCCAUAGUAGGAUGCUCCUGGGGAUAAACUACAUCUCCCUCAGAUCAAAUCAGGAACUAACAUUAGAAACACUCCUACAUAGUCACAGACUAGUUUCUGAAAAUAACAGGUCCAUCUCGGAUGGAACUCUAAAAUGGCAGAGACACAACGAGAGUCCUUCAGCAGGUAACGCCUUCACUUUUUUUUAGGUCAAGCUUUAGGUAUCUGACAUUAUUCUAGAGAUGAACUAUAUUUGGAUUAUGCGUAUAGUUCUUCAGCCAGGUAACGCCUUCACUUUUUUUAGUUAUGCGUAUAUCUUCCAAAAUUAUGUUCUCAUUAGUAGUCUCUGAACAGAAAAACACUUGUAUGUCACAGUGUUCUCAUUCGAUUGAUUAUUUGGAGUAGCUUUCGAAACUUCAAAAACGGUCAAGCUUUAGGUAUCUGACAUUAUUCUAGAGAUGAACUAUAUUUGGAUAUGAGAAAAAGUACAAGCAAGAUCCACGAUAAGACUAUGUUCCACUUGUGGGAGCAGUUAUGAGAACUAAGUAUACGAACCAGAAAGUUAGGAGGGAGCAGUUAUGAGAACUAAGUAUACGAACCAGAAAGUUAGGAGCUUAGAAGCUGAGUAUCCAAUGUUUCUGAAACAUGUUUGGCCUCAAAAGAUGCCAGGCCCUUUGAUUUGCUAAAAAAAGAAGCUCAUGUUAAGAUUAGAUACACUCGGAAUCCAUAUUCUAAAGACUUAUGAAGAGGAAUGGUCUUAUAUCCCAGUCGGUGGGUCCUUGCCAAACACUGAACAAAAGAAUCUCGCCGUUGGUCUGCAGCUAUUGAAGGAACCCUUUCCACUGCAGAAUUCUAGUGAAAAGAGUUAUUUUUUGCUCUUUGUGAUGAACAUAGUGGUAUACGUUUCAUGAGGUGAAAAGCAAACGGGAGACAAAGAAAGAGAAUUUAAUCCAAAAAGCUCAAGACAUGGGGAAGGAAUGGACGGAGGAACUUAGCUUCAAACUACACUGAUGCCAAUAAUGGAAGAAGUGCAGCUUUUAAAAGGCAGAGUGGAGCUAAUCACAUAAUAAGAAGUCUUAGAAAUGCUUCGCCUGCUCCUAUCAAAGCAACAAUCGACACAAUACCUUGUUCCAUAAAGGAGUCUAACCCUGUAAUUCCCCCAAGUGGAGUUAGAAACCGAAAUAUUACAGAAGAACACACUCCCUUCAAGUCUACAUCUUCGUCUGAUGAUCUUACUGAGCUGAAGAAGUCUAAAGCAACUGAAAAUGAACCUUAUCAGAUUUUUUUGUGCGAAUCAAUAUCCAAGAAAGAAAUUGCAGUGAAGAAGAGCGCAAAUUUAUUUGCAGUUUGGAUGCAGCUAAUAUUGUUUUGAAUAAACCUCAUGGUAUGGCUGUUCAAGGAGGAACUGGGGUCAAAGCCAUUAUUGAUGGGGUCAAAGCCAUUAUUGAUGAACUAUAUGCUACCACUUGCUUGACUUUUGAUAAAUCAGAAUCUCCUCGGCUGGUGCACAGACUUGACAGAGACUGUAGUGGACUUUUGGUGUUGGGAAGAACACAAACGGCUGCAACGCCUUUUCAUUGUAUAUUCCUCGAGAAAACAACUGGUUAGUGUCGCAUAUGUAAGACCUCUCCUUAAAGGGGAAAGAUUUCAGCAUGCUAUCACUGAAUACCGAGUGAUUGAAUUUUCACCACUUGGUAUGCUUCGUCGUCCCUCAAUGAACAGGGACUACAUUGAGUGACGGCUUGUCAUAGGUGAAGAACCUGUGAUGGCUCAAUGAACAGGGACUACACCGUCCUCUUUCCUUUGGUGUCUCAAGGAGUCUUGGUAUCUUCUCUCAGGUAAUGGUUAUUAGAAGUAUCAGAGUCAAAAUUCCUCUGGAAAUCAGCGCAGAAGAAAGUCGUAAAAUCAUUACAGAUUCUGUCAAGAGAUUGAAUUUAUAACUUAGCUCUUGAGGAGGUGUGUGACGUGUGUCUCGUAUCUUAGCUCGAAAGUUGUGAGCAUAACAGAAGCUCCUGAUGGCCUUAGGUUUAUUUCCUGUGAAGAAAAGCACCAUUGUUCCGUGCAGCUCUUGCAGUACGAAGUUGGAAGACGUAGAGUGUCCCUGUUCAAGCUGCAUAUGGCGUAGAGGUGGAGGUAUAGUAUGAAUCUUUUGAGACUGUUCUGUUUGAAAAAUUCAAGUGGAAGACAGUCCGUAAGAUCCAGAGCAGAUGGUUUGCAUGAAUUACGGAGAGUAUGCGAACCAGAAAGUUAGGAGCUUAGAAGCUGAGUAUCCAACGUUUAUGUACGCCAUGCCUAUGACAAAGACAAAAGUGUUCUUUGAGGAGACAUGUCUAGCCUCAAAAGAUGUCAUCAUGCCCAUUGAUUUGCUAAAAACGAAGCUCAUGUUAAGAGUUACCGAGAAUAAAUCUCAAAACUCUGUUUGAGAGGAAUAGGAGGCGAUUUCCAGCCGGUGAGAGAGUUUAACAGCGUACGUUGAAGAUUCCGGCAACAAUGUCGAGGAGACGGAGUCUGUGGGUGGAAGUGAACUGACGAAGCGGUGGAGGAUAUCGAGGGGGGGAGGGGGAGCGGCGAAGAGGCGCAUGGCCUUGAUGAUUUUAAAGAACUUCUGGCUGGAAGGUUUUUUUGACAGACCGAUUCCCAAGCGAGAGACAUAAUCUGAAAUCUGGGAAUCUUGGGAAUGUUGAAGAGAAUGAAAUGGGAGCAGAGAGAAAGAAAGAAGUUCAAUACAUACAGGUUGCAUACGGUUUUGAUCUAAACGAAACAUAUAUUUUGUGUUUUGUGUAUGUACAUUUGUUUGUGUACACGAGUACAUUGGGUGAGCACGAUGAUGUGUACGAAAAUGUUAGUGUAUGCAUGUAUAUGUUAAAGAGAUAUGAAAGUCAUAUUCUACUGCCAUUUGAGAAUCAACUUCAUUAAGCUUUGUAUAAUGAUAUGAAAUUCAUAUUCUACUACCAUUUGAGAAUCAACUUCAUUAAUCUUUGUAUAAUGAUAUGAAGUCAUAUUCUAUUACCAUUUCAUCUUUGAAUGGAAUUAGUUUAAUUUUUCAGUGAUGUACACAUGUACACUACCAUAUGUAUUGUACACAAAUAUGUUACCAACAUUUAAUGUAUACAUGUACACACGUACACUAACGAAUGUACAUAACUUUACAACAUGUUGGACAUCUAACAUCAAUCUCAAACAUAUGUGUACAUGUAAACAUCUGAUAAAAUAAGAUAUAUAUAUUGUACACAUUAGCCCUUAUCGAUAGUGAAAACAUGUGUACAUGUAAAUUUCUUUUGAAAGUAUAUAUGUUAAACAUGCAAACAUAUUUAGAAGUGUUAAAAAGAAUAAAAGCCUUCCAAGAUCUAGCUUUCAAUGCAUAACCAUCACUGCCUGUGAAAUAUUUUCCGCAAAUCUCGUCCCAUCGAUUUAUUCCAAUAUGGGAGCAUGCUUCCAUAUAGAAAGAUUAUUGUUUGAUGUACAAUGUGAUUGUGUACAUCCCAUGCCGUGUACAUUCUGUACAAUGUAAUCGUGUACAAAUUGGUUGUGUACACGUGUAGAUCCCAUGUAUUCUAUGUCGUGUACAAUGUAUUUUUGGAGACUAAUCUGCACAUUUUAAUGCUAUGGGGCCAUAAUGAAAAUAAUCAAAAGCCAGCUGACUAUUUCUGAAAGAUUGUUGUUUUCUACACAAUGUGAUUUUGUACAUCCCAUGUCGUGUACUCGUGUACAUCUCAUGUCAUGUAUAAUGUGAUUUUGGGGACUAAUCUGCACAUUUUAAUAUUUUGGGAGCAUAAUAAAAAUAAUUAAAACCGAAGGACUAUUUCUGAAAAAGAUGAAACUCAUCCAUUGAUGUCGCUCGGUCUAUCUUUUCGUUGGAUCUCGUUAACGACGAUGGCGAGCAGACAACGACGGAGCAGAGACACAGCAAUGAGAAUUAAUUCCUAUGGCGGCGAAGGCUGAAAGCACGACCCGAGAUGGGGCAGUCAUGGGCUUGAGACGUGGAGAAGCCGAUGUUAACGAGACGCGACGAAGAGCAACGACCACCGGUGAACGAGACCUAACAUCGACGCCAUCUUGGACAGAGGAGCUGAGGGCGGAGAGGAGGUGAUGAAUUGGAGCUUUUCGACUGUAACCCGUUUAUUGACCUGUCAACUCCAAGCACCAAAAGAAUCAACUUUUCUUUAGCUUUCAUCAUUUAGGAUUCCGCAAUUCUCGAACCCAGAACUCAAGUUCGUCAAAGCUCGAGUCCUCGACGACAAUUUGGUCAUACGCCGUUGGGAUAUUGAUUAUUUUCAUUAUUUGGUUAGGUUCAUAGAUGUGAAGCUAUUGUAGAACAUGAAAAGCAUGGCUUGUGAGAUUUGAGAAAAAAAUGUACGAGUAAAAUCGAUGAGGGAGAGAGAAAGAUAUUAGGACUCAAGUGCAUUUAAAUGUUUAGUAGACCAAUUUUAUGGUUAGUUAACCUAACUAAAUGAAACGACCAGUUACGCUUUUUGGAGUCUUUCCAUUGAAAAACUACCUCUGUAGUGGAAACUGCUCUAUUGUGUAAAAGAAAACUUGAAACUGCCCCUGUGUGUAAUAAACUCUUUUUAGAAAGGGUUUCACAAGUUUAAGCUUGUGUUUUUAUCUCAAGUCUUAACUUCAUCUCAAACAUUUCAUUUUCUUCUUUGAGAUACAAAAUGAACCACAACGAUAUGAUCAUCCAUACUUAUAAGUUCUAAGUAACACUGGAAAACCCAUGAGGGAUGGUCAUAAUCAAGUCAGUUAUGUAUUGCGAAAUUGAUAUAGCAAACGGUGAAAAGACUAGCUAAAAACAGCUAGUAUGAAAACAUGGACUUUUAAAGUUUUAAUUAAAAUUCAUUUAAGAAUAUAGGUUAAGGUUAAAGUUUUAGUUUUUCUUUUCUUCUUUAAGAUAAAAAUAAAAGUUCAUUUUCUAUCUUUGAUAAGAAGAAAUAUAUGUUCUCAAAACAUUUUUUGUCCAACAUUAAUAGUCUUUGUUUUCAAACAUUUCCAAAACUUAUAGUAUUUAAGUAUUUUUAAUAAUGUUUUAUGGUCAACACUAAUCAAUUAAUGAUAAAGAUUAUAUGUAACCGUAGAAUCGUAUCAAAAUUAAAGGUGGAUAUAUAUUCCUAAACUCAGAUCGAAACCACUUUAGCUAUUAACGAGAUCUUCAUCUUCUUCAACAAGUGAUAUUCCUAAAUUUAGAAAGUAGAUCAAUUACUCAGACAUAUUAUUUGAACACAUCUACGAAUAAAAAUAUUAGUUUACGUUAAUUUGUUGGUUAAAACUUAAAAAGACAUAUAGAAUCCAAAGAGUUGGUACUGUAUAAUGGGUAAAAGACAAAUUAGAGCUGAGCUUUUGAAACCUUCCACAUCCAUGUCUCAAAUCAUAUGCUCUUGAAACCUUCCACGUUCAUUCACAUGCAUGCCUUUCCGUUUUUAAUUAUUAUGUAUGUUAUGAUCUCCUUCAUUGUAAACUGUAGUAAGAUUUGGAAUAUAUUGUAUUGGUUUGGGUCUCUUUGAGUAUGAUAACGAUCUCUCUAAGUUUGGGUCUUUUAAAACUUUUGAGUCAUAUAUUAUUGAUUUUUGUAUAGUGUUUAAUGCAAAGUACGACUUUAUUUAAAACCUUCAAAUUCAAACGAGAGUGGCAACUUUGAACACUAUUCAUGUAUUCAUAGUGAAAUUGGAACAAACUUGUGAUUCAUUUAUGCAUAAGUUUAUUCGUGAUUCGGCUGCAUGCUAUUUUAUUUUGAUUAUUUUAUUAGUGAUUCGGUUGCAGAUCCAAACUAAUCAGUAUUUAAGUCCUAUAAAAAGCUCCAAACUAAUUUUUUUAAUAUAGAUACAGUCGACAGAUAGACCAUUUUUUCAGCAUUUUUUCAGGUUUUCAAAUAGGUUUUAUCUUCGAACUUUUAAAAAGAUUAUAAAUAAUAGGUCAAUAUCAGCAUGACCACAUAUGUUUAGUGUCGUGUGUUACUUAAAUUCUAGUAUCCUCAAAAUAUGUCUACCACCAGACUACUAGGACGUCGUUGAUUGCAUGCUAUUUGUAAGUAAUCAUUUUAAAACAAAUCGUAAGAAUGUCUGUAAUAUGAUCCAAACUAUAUGUUUAAGGCUUUCCUUUCCGGACCAGUGAAAUGCUAUCAUUGUAGUUUUUAAAUGUCAAUAAAUUAUAUAAUUGUGUUUUGACUAUAAUUGUGUUUAAACUAACCAAUGCAAAAUUUUUAGUUCAACAACAGGGAUUUAUACUCACUCUUUUAAUAUGCGGAGUAAAUAGAACAACAAUCAAAUAAUGAUUUCACAAAUUAUUGUGAUACUCAUAUUAUAUCUAAAUAAUGUAGAAAUUGCAUGUAUUACAUAAUACAAUUGAUACAUAUAAACAUAAUUAAAGAAUGGAAAUCAGAAUUUCAGUAUGAGAUAUUAGACCAAAGUUAUAUUUUAAAUUUUACAAACAAUCAUUCUAAUUUUGUAUUUCUGUUCCAUUUUUUUUCCGAUAAGUUAAUACAUUCAUUUUAUAGUGUUUAUGGUACAUUAUGUCAAACACCCAAUCAUUUUGACUAAAGUCCCCUAGAAAACUCAUCAAAAUGUAUUUUAAAAUAUUUCCUCUAAACAAAGUCCAAAAAGUAUUUUAAAAUAUUUCCUCAAAAACAAAGUCCAACAAUUAAUGCUAACACGACUUCUACAAACUAAUAAAACGUUAAAAUGAAAGAAAAAGAAAAGAAAAAGAAACUCAACACAAACGCUAACAAAAAUAUUAGACUUUUUCCUAACUUUAGAGAAAUAAAACAUUUAUUUCUGACUUUUUACAUCAAAAGAGAAGAAAAAAAGGCAUAUCUUAUAAGUGAAGGGACUGCGAAUUUUGCAACAUGAGGUGCCCCACUACAAAAGGACAAGAAUCAUGAAUCAUAUAUUCAAUUCAACAAUCCUUCUUAUUGAAUACUAUAUUAAAACAAUAAUAUAAUAUACAUACAUAAAUCACCAUAUUAAAAAGGAGAUAUUUAACUAAAAAGUAAGGAAAACGUAGACAGUUGUGAUCUGCAAAAACAAAGAAAAGUCAUUAAUUUAACCAAAGCAGAAAUUUCGUCCCCAAGCAUUGAAAGAGGGUCAAUAUGGACCCCCCACCUUCAUUUAUAAAAUCAUAUCCCCACACCAAUUAAUUAGAUACACCAAAAUAAAUAUUCUGAAAUGCAUUUAAUGUUUAAGAAGUAAAUGAUCUUUCAUCAAACAUAACACCAGUAUUCAACUUCGUAUCCAGAAAUAUCAAAAAACAAUAUAUGCAAAACCAAUGGAACAAACAAUUAUUUGUAAAUUGUUAAAAACCAUGAUAAUGAGAUCUUGAGAGUGUAGAUUUAUCAUAAAUACGGCCGUGUGUAUGUGUGUGGACUCGACUCUCAAGGUCAUCUUUCUCUUUCAUUUGUUGCCAAACAAGUAGGAACAAAGUCUAUGUUCACAUUAUCCUUACUUCCAAAAUCACCAAUUUUUCAUAUUAUCUUUGAUCAAUGUGAAAUGUAAUUUGGUUAUAUUCUCUUUGGCAUCUUUCUUGUUUUGUUCACAUUAUGUUCUUUACUUUCUUCUACAAGUGGCCAAAGUGGAUAAUUGGAUGAGAUCAUUGUAGAGAAAGCAGAGAGGCUUUAACAGAAAAAAGCUGAAGAUAAGAUGAAGCGAAAACACCAAACAUAUCUCCAUAUAGAUCGCAAAAGAGAGAUGAACAAUAUCAAGAUUUAUAGUUAAUAUGGUUGAUUUAACACAAACACUUAAUGAUAGGAAAGUAAAAGCAGCAGGCAAUUCUCCUUCUCUUGCCUUCACCUUGCUCAAAAACAUUGAAGGUGAGAAUUAAAAUAUAAAACCAAACUGAAAAAAAAAACAUUAAGUAAACCAACCAAAACUCCAUCCCACCUAGUGAGAUCAGAGUAAAAAGAAAA